AUUAAAUAACAUAUAUAUAAUUCAAUAGUAAUAUAAAUAUAAGAAAAGAAGAUUUAGAAAUGUAAAUCUUAAGGAGUCACGUCAAGGGCCCUGUUAUAAAGUCGUGUUGCCUUCUGUUCAUACCGUUACUUUUGACGCUACACGGCUCCAAGAUAAAAUUUGUUUAGCUCACAGCCGAUUCUCCUUUGAUGGGCAUGACCACAUGGAGAUAAGUGGACGAACCUUUAUCGAGUUGCCAAAAUAUAUAAAUAGAAUGUAUAUGGAGGAUUUUUUGUGUAUUCAAGUUGUAUCUCAAGUUAUAUUUCAAGUUGUAUGAAAAUCAAUCCAUUUCAUAGGGAAAAUUUCAAUCCCAACAUUCAAAAAAAAAUCCAAUUUAUAUACAAGUUACACUAUAACAUCAAUAGGUUUUAAUUUUUGUUAAAACUGAAACUUAAAUGGUUGAAAGAUUAAAAUUUAUUUUAUAUUUUACAACAAUAAUGGACUUAAUUUUUCAUGUUCUCUCUCUACCUUGCUCCUUGAGACUAGAUUUUGGAAUAUCUCAUGCACUUAUUCGUGUAGAUUGAGAAAUGGAAUGUUCUCGCAAAAAUCUACUCCAUUUGCAGAGAAUAUCAUGUAGAUUUAAACUGAAUAUGUUCUUAAAUAUUCAUAUGUUUUUUCAUGGAAUUGCAUUUAAUGUCGCAACCUGCCAAAUGUUUUCAUUUUAAACAAAUAUCAUUUCAGAAUGUUAUGGAAAAUGAACCAAGUUUGAUAGCUUAUUUGGUUCAUGUUGUUCAUUUUCCAUUCUGGUUGCUAAUUAUCUUCUUUGUUGAUCUUAAUUGCAAGACACUGAUAGUUGCUAUCCCCAAUAUACUGUUCAUGGUUAUAGUUGACAUUAAUUAGCAGAAUGGAUGAAUGAGAUCAAUCUAUUUGACCCAAAUAAGCACGAGAUAAGGCUCAGUUGAGUUGUUGACAUUAUUGUAAUAUGUAUUUGUAAUUUGAGUUACCCUUUUACUCUUCUCCCACCUCUAUCUUAUGUUUCUCUGUCUUGAUGGAUAAGGAGUGAGGGCUGAAAUGGGUGUCGGCCUUAUAUUUUCUGCGUAUUAAAUUUGCGCGUGUAUUAUCUUGAAAUUGAAGCUUAAAUUUUAACGGACACAAAAUUAUUUGAUAUAACUUACCAUAACGUGAAGUUUUAAUUAUGUCAGUGAAAAUUGUCAAAUUUUUGGAGCAUUAUCAAGCUCUCUGUUGGUCCUACAUUUUAAAGAUGAUGAUUAUCUACUAAAACUAUAAGCAUUUGUUUUUUGCAGGCCAAGAAUGUGUUUUUCAAAUGGAUCACCCCGGCAUACGGGUUGUGAAUUGUGCUGGGGCUCGCAACUUCAAGUUCUUUCUCCUUUCUGUUGUGAGAACAGUUGCAUUUCCCAUCAAUCUAUAGUCUUGUUGUAUAUAAAUAUGAGACUUCCGCUGAGGAUAUUUAUGGUGAUGCUUCCUCUAUGCAUACUGUAUGUUAAUUGAGAAACCUCUGGAAUAAAAUGGAGGCACCAAAUAAAAAUGUUGGGGUGGGGGGAUGGUGUAUUUAGUUUUUAUUUUUGAAAUUGAGGAGGAGAGACUAGGGCCUUUCCAGUGUGUAACGCCUUGUUAUUUCUUUUAUCUUCCAUCAGUUUAUUCAUCAAAAGCAUAGAAGAAUUAAUUUGUUCAUUUGGCUUUUACAUAAAAUUUUACAUUUACUUUUUGCAUUAACUUGGGUUCUAUCAGAUUAAUUUCUCUUCCACAUAAAGAAAAACUGGAAUUUCGCAUAUUUUUGGCUCUGAUCUUUAGAUAUUUUACACUUUCACGUACCUGACAUGGGCUCUAUAAUAAGUCUUGAGAACUGUAGGAAUGGUUAGUUGAAUUUCAUUGUAAUGACAACUUGCUCUUCAUAAUGUAAAUUCAAUGAAAUGAAACACAUUGCUUGGAACUUUAUUAAAGAUGAAGUGCUUUGGUUUCGAUACCCACCGAUGUUCAAUUGCUUUUCAGAAUCUACUAUGUUAGAUAGUCCUAAUGGACCUUGCACAUCUAAACUAAAUAUGAAUUAAAGUUUUUCUUUUUUUGCAAAUAUGCAUCGAAGUUUGUUUACUGUUAUUCUUCAUACAAUCUCAAGAUAUUUCAACCAUUAUUUCCAUAUAUUUUAAUCCCUGAGAAAAUGCCUUUAAACUCUAUCUGCUACUCCACAUAUUUAAACGACAUUUUGUAAUUAUAUCAAACUGAGCCCAAUCGGUCAUUUCACAGUUUAUAAACUUCACUUUCCUUUAGUGGCAUCAGUCACCAUGUCAGUUAUUCUCUCAAGGUAACAAGAACAAGAGAUAAGCCAGCCUCCCCAGACCAUAUGGGGUAUUUCGGAAGGAAAACGAGGUUUUCUUUCAGUUUCUUUUCUAUAUAUGUGAAUGGACUCUUGGAAUGAUUUUUGUUUUUUUUGUUUUUUAUAGCUUUAUUCCUUUCUAGAGACACCAAUGAAUACUCUUGCGCUUCUACCCAACUUCAUAGAUUUUUAUAAUCAUGCCAGUCGUCAUUCCACUUCAAGUAGACAACUUUCUGUCACUUUCCUGUCCUUCGGUAAUUUCUCCUUCUGAAUAAAUGAUCAUCAUAUCAAUAUGCUGUAUCUACCUCUUCAUCAUUUUUGUGUUUCUCUUACAUAUUCUGUACCUUGUUGCAGUUCUGAAUUUAGCUUUUGCUCUAAGUCUUCUUUGUUUCGUAAUUAUGCAUUCAUCUCUUCUAGUGAGCAACGCCACUUUGGUUGAGGUAAAUCCAUAUUGAACUAGCACGGUUUAUAUUGUAUUAGAUGUUCGACAUAGAACAAUCUUCCAUGAAUAGAAUCUUAAAUUUAACAUGCAGAACUCUAAGUUGCACAACUUUUCUUGAUGGAUGGUCUUUGUGUAUCUAUUACUUCAGGUUAGCGAGAAAAAAAUAGCUGUGUAGUUGAAGUUCGAUUUGGGAUGAAAAUGAACUUUGAGCAGGACAAACAUAUUGAUUCUCUCUUUUGAUUCUUAUAUCAAUCUCCGAAAAGUGUGUGCUUAUUAAAAAGAUGAUAAGAGAAGUCAGAGAAAAUUGGUAAUAUCACAUUGAAGCUUUCUAAUGUUAAUUGAAAGUACUGGAGAAAGGAAACAUAUCAAUAAGAUUAUUAUCCUAAGUAUGUGGAUAAUCUCCUUCAUAAGUAUCAGAGUACUAGUUGAGAAUGUAACUAACUAUUACCUUGUAUUUGUGCCCAAACCAUGGCACUGCCCAGUUUAAGUUUUCAUGGUUUUUAGAAGGAGAAAAAUUAGCUUUAGUUUCUGAAGUUGAACGGAGGUUAGUGUUAUCAAACAAAGCUCUAGAGCUGAUGGGUGCGUCCCAGUAAUUUGAUACGGAUCCAUCUUGCACAUUGAUUCAAUUGGUUGCUCUUAGGAGCAUGUUGUAAUAAUGGUCUCUUUAUGAGUGAUUUUCUCAUCGUAAUAUCUUGAAUUAAGUCCUAUGGAGAAUUUGGACAAGACAGUUGGAAAAAUUGUGAUCUCUCGAUAGUGGAUUCAUUGUUUUUUGGCCAUUGAUGUAAUCAACCACAUAAAUGGCAAGUACAUUGUCUUCUUGUUCUUCCUAUAAUUUAACUUUUCUGUCUCAGGUAUUGAAUGGUUUGUUGCAGAACCACUUCUGAAAAAUACUCUGUAUUUCAGUUCCUUGCUAUCUGGAAACUUAUCAGAAUUUGAGCUAAUGUUGUAGUCAAUUAGGUAAUAGAUUUACUGCACUUCCGAUUUAUUUUCUUUAUUUAGGUUUUUGGCACUAGAAAGUUAUUUUGGUUCUUCCCACUAUUUGCAAAGGAAGAUUUGGAGAAAAUACCUGUACUAAAUGGCCUAGAUUUUCCCACGCGCUCAUAUAUUGAAGCAUGAGGAACAUUGAUCACCUUCCGAAGUAUGUCUGUUAUUUUUCUUUAGUAGUCAUUAAUUUUCACAAGGUGGGUUUUCUAAUUCGUUCUAUAAAAUUUAAAAUUUAUAAGUUCUUGUUUUUUGGUAAUUUGUCCUUGUAGCAUCUAUAAAGUUGAAUCAUUUACAAAAAACACAUUUUUGCACAAGCAUAUAUAUCUUAUUGUGAACUGAGAAAUAUUGGACAUGUAUCAUGUGCCCCAUAAUCUCAUAAAAUCUACUGUCUAUCUGUGUAGUUUCCAACUUUUGGACCUGCAUGUUCUCUUUUUCGUGAAAUAGAACUCUCAGUUCUUCUGGCUCAGUUAAUGGCAUGUUGAUCUGGCUAUAAUUGAUCCUAUAAAUUCAAUAGAAAUGCUAUUUUUUUACUUUUGUUGUUGUUCAUGAAUACUAACAUGAUUGACACAAGUUUCCCUUUAUCUUAAAGUUAGCUUUCAAAUCAUUUAUACUACUAUAUAUGGUGCAGAUUUUGAAAUUUGAUGAAUUUGAUCUUUUCUCCAUGAGCCCACUCCUCCCUGAGCUGUCUGCAUCUCAUGGUAGCAGCCUUAUUUCAUCUCUUUGCACAAAACAGAAGGCGUAUCAAAUGAAUGAUUCAUUGAUUGAAGGCCCCCAUUUAUGAAUUAUAUUAUAGUCCGAGAAAUGCUACAUCUACGCCCAGGUUUACCACCUGGGUGAUAGAAUGUAGAGGUGGCAACAUUUCAUAGGCUGGUGGACAAAAAAAAAAAAAAUGUUCCACCGGCCUAUGAAAUCUUGCCACUUGUGCAUUCUAUCAAACCCACCUGGGUGUACCAAGUAUCAUUUUUCUUAUAGUUCUAUUUGAGUAGAUUACAAACACUAAAAUGCAUGCUUACUGGGGAAGGUGACAUUUUGGCCUUGCAUAUCUCCUCCCUAACAUCAUUGCUUUCCUCUUUUCAAUAUUAUAGACCUGCUAGUCACUCAUUAGAAAUCAUGCUUAAAGGUAUUCAAAUUGACAUAUAAUACUCAUAUGCUUGGUAUCAAUUACAUGUAUUUUGUCCCACAAGAAAGCAGAAAGUUUUUUGGUGAUACACAGGCACAGACUUUUUGUACCACGCUCCCAGCAAGGAGCCUGCUGGAAAUCAUACGAACAAACAGCUUUUUCUUAAUGGCAGCUGAGUCGGUUGAUCAUCUAUCGGGUCGUGAAAUGUCUUUUUCUAGCGAACUAUGUGGGGAGUUGUGACAGGAGUUGCAGAUAUCUGAUAUAAAGACUGAUAACCAAACAGUGAGUGGUGUAGCAAAAAGAAUGAGACCUACAGGCACCAUCCACUGCUGUUCAUUUGUAGGAUGAUAAUAAAACUCCCACCAAGCCAAUAUUAGCCCACCCACCAUGCUUACUGAAAAUGAUCCCAAGCAAACUAUCCAUAUCUUUACAAUCCUCAGAAAUCUUCUGUAUCUCUCAUCUUCCGUGUCUUCAUAUGAUGCCAUCAAGUGUCUGAUGUCGAAAUCCUUUACGUGUUUUCUUCGCGUGGAAAAGUUUUGAUAGAACAACGAGAGAUUAGACGACUGAAACCUACUGAAACAGAAAUGGUAAGAGGCUUUAUAUAUAGAUGCCUUGAAUUAGGCAGGCUAUUCCCAUUGAACCUCCAUCAGACGUGCCUUUUGACUAAAGUUGUUCCCUGUAGAAACCAUCAUCAUGUAGAGAGGAAGAACAUCAUUGCGUCUCGGUUUUUCUAUACAAGAAGUGAUUGAUAGAGGUUUGUGCUGGGGUAGAUUCAUUUCGUUUAAUAAGCCUAUCAAAAUUUCAUUUGACAAGUGGCUUCUUUGAUACGUAAGAAAUUGAUGGGGGAAUUAUUAUUUGGAGGAGGUAUAUAUCAUAGACAAAGUGAAUUCAAUGCAUAUCUAAACAAGCAAUGUGAAAGUUACAUGUUUCCAAGUUAUUUUAGGAAUUUAUGUAGAAUACUGGGG
Molecule: long non-coding RNA, 5822 nt
Filed under: Olea europaea subsp. europaea
Lineage: Eukaryota; Viridiplantae; Streptophyta; Magnoliopsida; Lamiales; Oleaceae
Source: RNAcentral